This 246-nucleotide ribosomal RNA is filed under the name uncultured bacterium. RNAcentral's name for it is "partial 16S ribosomal RNA". It matches the Rfam family "Bacterial small subunit ribosomal RNA", at positions 523 to 769 of the family's 1533-position model. The record is from RNAcentral.
AUACGUAGGUGGCAAGCGUUGUCCGGAUUUACUGGGUGUAAAGGGCGAGUAGGCGGGACUGCAAGUCAGGUGUGAAAUGCGGAGGCUCAACCUCUGACUUGCAUUUGAAACUGUGGUUCUUGAGUGAUGGAGAGGCAGGCGGAAUUCCCGGUGUAGCGGUGGAAUGCGUAGAUAUCGGGAGGAACACCAGUGGCGAAGGCGGCCUGCUGGACAUUAACUGCGCUGAGGAGCGAAAGCGUGGGGAGC